RNAcentral lists this long non-coding RNA (3362 nucleotides) under Haliotis rubra (blacklip abalone). Its description in RNAcentral is "uncharacterized LOC124268410". The record is from RNAcentral. Lineage: Eukaryota; Metazoa; Mollusca; Gastropoda; Lepetellida; Haliotidae.
UACUAUGCUGGGUCCUUGUCACUGCGCCGGCGUUCGUCAGCGAGGGCCAUUUGUGCGUCACGUGUCACAGGUAAAGACAGGGCUGUUGGCUAGAUGUCCAGGACGACCCACAACACCAUUCCGGAAGUUCCAGGAAUUAUAUAGUGAUGAUGUCUCUCAACUCUCGUCCAGCUAACGUACCUGCGUCCAGAAGAGUGAAACACGAACAUCGUAACCUUUACAGCCAAGCCUUACAUCUGAUGUCAUCACUGUUUGAGGUCUUCUUAUGUGACAUUGUUCAUCGUAGAAGUGCACGCUUAAUGGUCUACAUUUAGUGCAUUAAUAUUCAUUCAUCAGAGGACCUCACGCUUAAUUCUUCAUCUAAUGCAUCAAUAUUCAUCAGAGGACAUCAUGCUUCAUGGUCAUCAUCUAAUGCAUCAAUAUUCUCCUGAGGACAUCACGCUUAAUUUUUCAUCUAAUGCAUCAUUAUUCAUCACAGGACAAUACGCUUCAUCUAAUGCAUCAAUAUUCUCCAGAGGACAUAACGCUUAAUUCUUCAACUUAUGCACCAUUAUACAUCGGAGGACAUCAUGCUUCAUGGUCUUCAUUUAAUGCUUCAAUAUUCUCCAGAGGACAUCACGCUUAAUUCUUCAUCAAUGCAUCGUUAUUCAUCGGAUGACAUGCUCCACAUUCAUUAGAUGUCAUUGGUCAUCAGAGUACAUCACGCCUCAUGGUCUUCAUCACGUAUAUAGCUGUCACCAGAGAACUUAACCGCCAUAGUUUUAUAUCCAGAGGUACUGUGGCGUUACAGGUCAUCCCGCCGUGUUCCCCUUAAUCCCAGAAGAGGACAACAAGUAUAUAUUUAUCGAAUGUGUGGACGUUAUUUAGGGGACAUCACGCAUACCGUUCUAGCUUCACAUCGUUCUAUGCAUGAGUGUUUGCUGUAGGACAUCAUGCGUGUUGUCAUUGUGACCUUGAUGCUGUAAGCACCACAUGUAUUCUGUAUAUGUUACAUAUUGUUUGUUUAUAUAUUGCACUGGAAUGCUAAGCCUACAGUAUAAAACAACUAAAUCUAUAACUGUCUCUCACCGUGUGUCACACGUGUCUUGGAAUCCACUGAGAAUUCAAAAACUAUAUUAUCCACCCAAAACCGAAACGAACUCGUAGCACUUAAGUAAAAAUGAAUCGAAUUUUAGUAUGGAUUGUGAAUGAAAGUCAGUUCAGGAGAAAAAAAUUCCUUUUAGAAACUAAAAUGGUUGGUUGCUGCUGUGUGUUGCCGGUUUGUAAUUACAGUAAUGGUUAUAUGAACAGCAGAGCACAAGGAGAUAUAUAUAAUAGUCAGUUUGUCAUAACCUGCAAAAUUGAUUUAUCUAAUAUAUCCAGUAUAGAAAGAUUAUCUUUAAUAUUUCUACUUCGGUUAACUAUAUGUAGAAAUGAAUCUAUUUCGACUGAUAACUCCACUUACAUCUUUCAUACCAUACACUUUCAAAUUGGAUUUAAUUAAGCAAGAAAUUAAAUACUUAAUAAGACAUCGAUGACAAAAUGUGAACUUAAAUCACGUUUUUACUAAAUUCAUAUGAUGACACAAUAAUGCCCGCUUUCAUGGAUGAUACGAGCACGUCGUUGGGUUAAUGCAAAGUGAUGCACGGCAUCAUAGGCUGCAUGUGAGAUGCUGACAGAUGCGGUGCCAGCACUGCACCCUGUCUUAUACCACUCUGAACACGCGUAGGUUUAUCUGCUGUGCGAUACGGGAAAUGAUAAGAGCUCAACUAUCACCUCUUAAUGAUGAGCAGAUGAGAGACACAUUCAAUGGCAAAUCUCUCUGUUUUUUUCGUUAGUUCAAGCCGUGAAAAUAUUAAAGACUUCUUGUGUAUGGACUCUAUGAGUUAAUAUGAGUGCAUUAACGCAUUAAUGUCAAGGGUGCGACAUAAAUCAUAUUUGAGUUUGAACUAAAAACACUAUAAGAAAUUAUCUCUAGAGUGAGGCAGUUGGCUUUUUGACGCUAGGCUUUAUAUGGUUGUGAGGCUGUCAGGCAAGCACUGAGAGAUAUAUAUUUUGUUCAGUGUUAACAGGGACAAAGAUACACAUAUAUAAACAUAUACUACUAGUCACAUGUAAAUAUUUAUUUUAAAUAUAUUUUUGCGUGUAUGGAUGAGGGAGCAAAGCUGGGGAGAACGCCCACAGCACAAUAUUCUAGUCAUGACAGGCUUUUAAACGUAAAAGGAGUUGAACGGUGUUGAUGUCGGAUGCUUAUGAUGAGAAUAGUGAGUAUAGUUUUAUGCCGCAUCCACAUCUAUUCUUAUUAUAUCAUGACUGUGAACACUAAAAUGGAAUUUUCACUUUGGUGAGAAGCGCUGUAAUUCAAAAGCUGUCCCAGUCAAAGGAGAUUAGCUAUAAUUAUGCCAUGUUAACAGAUUUAACCUUUUAAAGAGUCAUUAGAAUGUUGUAGAUAUUGUAAGUCGCAUACGUUCAGAUGUUCGUGACAGCCAUAGUUGCAUUGCUAUGUAGUAUGUUGAUUACAGUGUUUCGUAAUUCGUUUGUAUAUUUCAUAUGUGAGGUAGUAUGAGUCAAAAUAAAUCUUUGAAUGUACACAUGUUGACGAUAUUUUUUAUUUUCCAUGUUCAGUAAGGCUUCGACAUACUGGCUCAGGUAAACCGCCGUUUGCUACAUAAAAUAAGUUUUUCCAAGCAGUUGUUUCACAUGGAUGACGUUGAUCCUGACGUCCGACAUUAUCCGAGUCGUCAUCCGGUCUUCGUCCGAGUCGCCAUCCGGUAGUCGUACGUAUAGCGUGAUACAGAUAACUCUGUGGUACCAGAACAAACCUGAUGACGCCAUAUCUAUAUUUGUGAGUGAACGAUUGUUUAAUGAUUGAUCAACGAACGUUGCCACACCUGAAAGCAAGCAUUUACUUGUCAAACACCAUGAGCAUCUAUGUGGGUUAACAGACAGCCACACUGCAGACAACUGGGGGGGUUACUGCAAAUAUUGACUCCGACAAUUGAUCAACGCAGACAAAUAAUGUCCAGUAAUGUCCACAUAAUCUCCGAUGUCAUCUGGACAGCAGAUACAUCUUGUGUUCCGGAAACUCAUAUCUCUUUUAGAACAUGUUCAGUACAAUUGUGCAGGACAAUAAAUCCUUAUUCGGGACUGUGUUUGUGUAUUGGAAUUGGAAAUGUGGACAUUAACCAAACCUCGCUAUUCCGACAUCUUGAUGGAGGCCAGCCUUUGUUGGACGUAUAUGAAGUCACUAUAACCAUGUUAACCCGGACACUGGUAUUCUGGAAACCGAAACUAAGGCUAUCCGCUUUUGUGGCAGUAAAUGUACGAGACCAAAACCAUUAUACCAUCUUCAUAACCACGGGGAAUCUCUACCCAAAGUUGAG